RNAcentral lists this ribosomal RNA (253 nucleotides) under uncultured bacterium. Its description in RNAcentral is "partial 16S ribosomal RNA". It matches the Rfam family "Bacterial small subunit ribosomal RNA", at positions 524 to 776 of the family's 1533-position model. The record is from RNAcentral.
UACGGGGGGGGCAAGCGUUGUUCGGAAUUACUGGGCGUAAAGGGCUCGUAGGCGGCCAACUAAGUCAGACGUGAAAUCCCUCGGCUUAACCGGGGAACUGCAUCUGAUACUGGAUGGCUUGAGAUUGGGAGAGGGAUGCGGAAUUCCAGGUGUAGCGGUGAAAUGCGUAGAUAUCUGGAGGAACACCGGUGGCGAAGGCGGCAUCCUGGACCAACACUGACGCUGAGGAGCGGAAGCCAGGGGAGCAAACGGG